This 697-nucleotide ribosomal RNA is filed under the name uncultured Glomerales. Its description in RNAcentral is "LSU rRNA". It matches the Rfam family "Eukaryotic large subunit ribosomal RNA", at positions 38 to 633 of the family's 3401-position model. The record is from RNAcentral. Lineage: Eukaryota; Fungi; Glomeromycota; Glomeromycetes; Glomerales; Glomeraceae.
GCAUAUCAAUAAGCGGAGGAAAAGAAACUAACAAGGAUUCCCUUAGUAACGGCGAGUGAAGAGGGAAGAGCUCAAAUUUUAAAUCUAUCAUGUUUGUACAUGAUCGAGUUGUAAUUUGAAGAAGCGUUUUCUCGUACUUUAUGCAAUCAGUAUAAGUUCUCUUGGAACAGGACAUCAUAGAGGGUGAUAAUCCCGUCUGUUACUGGUUGUGAGGUUCGUUAUGAUACGCUUUCAAAGAGUCGAGUUGUUUGGGAUUGCAGCUCCAAAUGGGUGGUAAACAUCACCUAAGGCUAAAUAUUUGCGAGAGACCGAUAGCGAACAAGUACCGUGAGGGGAAGAUGAAAAGAACUUUGAAAAGAGAGUUAAAAAGUAUGUGAAAUUGUUGAAAGGGAAACGAUUGAAGUCAGUCGUGCAGUCAUCAAUUCAGCGGUUAACAUUUUAUGUUUCCGUGUAAUUUGGUGUCUGUUGGUUAGCAUCAAUUUUGAUUGUUAUAAAAAGGUUAAGGGGAUGUGGCUCCUUCGGGAGUGUUAUAACCCUUAGCGUAAUGUGACGAUUAGGAUUGAGGUUUGCAACGAAUACCUUUUAGGGCAGUUUCGCUGGCCUCUCGCAGAAGCAUAGAGGGUAAGAGCAUGCUCUUACUUUCUAUGCGUUCUGCGAAAAGGUUGGAUGAAAUUAAUUCGUUAAGGAUGUUGACGUA